UAGUCCACGCCGUAAACGAUGUUCACUCGCUGUCUGCGAUACACAGUAGGCGGCUGAGCGAAAGCAUUAAGUGAACCACCUGGGGAGUACGAUCGCAAGGUUGAAACUCAAAGGAAUUGACGGGGGCCCGCACAAGCGGAGGAACAUGUGGUUUAAUUCGAUGAUACGCGAGGAACCUUACCUGGGCUUAAAUGUAGAUUGCAUGAUGUAGAAAUACGUCUUUUCUUCGGAACUAUUUACAAGGUGCUGCAUGGUUGUCGUCAGCUCGUGCCGUGAGGUGUCGGGUUAAGUCCCAUAACGAGCGCAACCCUUAUCGUUAGUUGCUAGCAGGUCAUGCUGUGGACUCUAGCGAGACUGCCACCGUAAGGUGAGAGGAAGGUGGGGAUGACGUCAAAUCAGCACGGCCCUUAUGUCCAGGGCUACACACGUGUUACAAUGGUCGGUACAAAGGGCAGCUACAUGGCAACAUGAUGCUAAUCUCUAAAGCCGA
RNAcentral lists this ribosomal RNA (490 nucleotides) under uncultured bacterium. RNAcentral's name for it is "bacterial SSU rRNA". It matches the Rfam family "Bacterial small subunit ribosomal RNA", at positions 791 to 1285 of the family's 1533-position model. The record is from RNAcentral.